This 468-nucleotide ribosomal RNA is filed under the name uncultured bacterium. RNAcentral describes it as "partial 16S ribosomal RNA". It matches the Rfam family "Bacterial small subunit ribosomal RNA", at positions 28 to 507 of the family's 1533-position model. The record is from RNAcentral.
GACGAACGCUGGCGGCGUGCUUAACACAUGCAAGUCGAACGGAAAGGCCCUGCUCUUGUGGGGUUCUCGAGUGGCGAACGGGGGAGUAACACGCGAGUAACCUGCCCUUGACUUUGGGAUAACUUCAGGAAACUGGGGCUAAUACCGGAUAGGAGCUCCUGCUGCAUGGUGGGGGUUGGAAAGUUUCGGCGGUUGGGGAUGGACUCGCGGCUUAUCAGCUUGAUGGUGGGGUAGUGGCUUACCAAGGCUUUGACGGGUAGCCGGCCUGAGAGGGUGACCGGCCACAUUGGGACUGAGAUACGGCACAGACUCCUACGGGAGGCAGAAGUGGGGAAGAUUGCACGAUGGGCGGAAGCCUGAUGAAGAAACGCCGCGUGCGGGAUAACGGCCUUCGGGGUGUAGACCGAAUUCGCCUGUAACGAAGCGUGAGUGACGGUAAUGGGUAAAGAAGGACCGGCUAAAUACGUG